Non-coding RNA from Pelobates cultripes (western spadefoot toad), 206 nucleotides. Lineage: Eukaryota; Metazoa; Chordata; Amphibia; Anura; Pelobatidae. The record is from the annotation of a GenBank genome assembly.
AAGAUAUUAUCAGAAAGACUCAACCCAGAUCUAACCACCUUAAUCCACCCAGAUCAGGUUGGUUUUAUUCUGGGGUGACAACUUUAUGAGAACACCCUUAGGAAUAUUGACCUAGUCUGUUGGAGACUGGAAUGCCUUCUCUGGUCCUAUCCUUGGACAUGGAAAAGAUGUUCGAUAUAAUUAAAUGCACAGAGAAGAGAUUGGGG